GAUGAACGCUGGCGGCGUGCCUAAUACAUGCAAGUCGAGCGAACAGAUGAGGAGCUUGCUCCUCUGACGUUAGCGGCGGACGGGUGGGUAACACGUGGAUAACCUACCUAUAAGACUGGGAUAACUUCGGGAAACCGGAGCUAAUACCGGAUAAUAUAUUGAACCGCAUGGUUCAAUAGUGAAAGACAGUUUUGCUGUCACUUAUAGAUGGAUCCGCGCCGCAUUAGCUAGUUGGUAAGGUAACGGCUUACCAAGGCAACGAUGCGUAGCCGACCUGAGAGGGUGAUCGGCCACACUGGAACUGAGACACGGUCCAGACUCCUACGGGAGGCAGCAGUAGGGAAUCUUCCGCAAUGGGCGAAAGCCUGACGGAGCAACGCCGCGUGAGUGAUGAAGGUCUUCGGAUCGUAAAACUCUGUUAUUAGGGAAGAACAAAUGUGUAAGUAACUAUGCACGUCUUGACGGUACCUAAUCAGAAAGCCACGGCUAACUACGUG
Molecule: ribosomal RNA, 497 nt
Filed under: uncultured bacterium
Lineage: Bacteria
Description: partial 16S ribosomal RNA
Rfam family: Bacterial small subunit ribosomal RNA
Source: RNAcentral